Molecule: ribosomal RNA, 464 nt
Filed under: uncultured Comamonadaceae bacterium
Lineage: Bacteria; Pseudomonadati; Pseudomonadota; Betaproteobacteria; Burkholderiales; Comamonadaceae
Description: bacterial SSU rRNA
Rfam family: Bacterial small subunit ribosomal RNA
Source: RNAcentral
GACGGGACCCGCACAAGCGGUGGAUGAUGUGGUUUAAUUCGAUGCAACGCGAAAACCUUACCCACCUUUGACAUGUACGGAAUCCUUUAGAGAUAGAGGAGUGCUCGAAAGAGAACCGUAACACAGGUGCUGCAUGGCUGUCGUCAGCUCGUGUCGUGAGAUGUUGGGUUAAGUCCCGCAACGAGCGCAACCCUUGCCAUUAGUUGCUACGAAAGGGCACUCUAAUGGGACUGCCGGUGACAAACCGGAGGAAGGUGGGGAUGACGUCAAGUCCUCAUGGCCCUUAUAGGUGGGGCUACACACGUCAUACAAUGGCCGGUACAGAGGGUAGCCAACCCGCGAAGGGGAGCCAAUCCCACAAAGCCGGUCGUAGUCCGGAUCGCAGUCUGCAACUCGACUGCGUGAAGUCGGAAUCGCUAGUAAUCGCGGAUCAGCAUGUCGCGGUGAAUACGUUCCCGGGUCUU